AUAUAGUCUGGCCUGCCCACUGAUAAUAUAUUAAAGGGCCGCGGUAUACUGACCGUGCAAAGGUAGCAUAAUCAUUAGUCUUUUAAUUGGAGACUGGAAUGAAUGGUUGAAUGAAAAAUUUACUAUCUAAAAAUUAAAUAUAAAAUUUUACUUUUAAGUGAAAAGGCUUAAAUUAAAUAAAGUGACGAUAAGACCCUAUAAAAUUUUAUAAAUAAAAUUAUUAAAUAUAAGUCUUUAUAUUAAAUAUUUAGUAAAAUGAAUUUAUUGUAUUGGGGAGAUUGGGAUAUAUACAUUGAAAUCUGUCUUUAAAAUAAAAAUAAAAAUAAUUAGAUUUUGAUCCUUUAGUAGAGAUUAAAAGAUAAAGUUACUUUAGGGAUAACAGCGUAAUUUUUCUUGAGAGUUCUAAUCGACAGAAUAAGUUGCGACCUCGAUGUUGAAUUAAAUUUACUUUUAAAUGUAGCAGUUUAAAAAGAAGGUCUGUUCGACCU
Molecule: ribosomal RNA, 488 nt
Filed under: Latreutes parvulus
Lineage: Eukaryota; Metazoa; Arthropoda; Malacostraca; Decapoda; Hippolytidae
Description: partial large subunit ribosomal RNA
Rfam family: Bacterial large subunit ribosomal RNA
Source: RNAcentral